UACGUAGGGUGCAAGCGUUAAUCGGAAUUACUGGGCGUAAAGCGUGCGCAGGCGGUGAUGUAAGACAGAUGUGAAAUCCCCGGGCUCAACCUGGGAACUGCAUUUGUGACUGCAUCGCUCGAGUGUGGCAGAGGGGGAUGGAAUUCCGCGUGUAGCAGUGAAAUGCGUAGAUAUGCGGAGGAACACCGAUGGCGAAGGCAAUCCCCUGGGCCUGCACUGACGCUCAUGCACGAAAGCGUGGGGAGCAAAAGGG
This 253-nucleotide ribosomal RNA is filed under the name uncultured bacterium. Its description in RNAcentral is "partial 16S ribosomal RNA". It matches the Rfam family "Bacterial small subunit ribosomal RNA", at positions 524 to 776 of the family's 1533-position model. The record is from RNAcentral.